AUGUAGUAUGAGAGUAAAGAAGGCUAGCACUUCCCUUCAUAGGAAUGUAAGAGGUCUUAGUAGCUUUUAAAAUACAUCUAGGGUAAGGUUAUCACUAUCUACUCUGUAGCAUCUAACCAGCUUUGA
Small nuclear RNA from Antechinus flavipes (yellow-footed antechinus), 126 nucleotides. The record is from RefSeq and is a predicted model, not a curated record. NCBI's taxonomy places the organism in Eukaryota, Metazoa, Chordata, Mammalia, Dasyuromorphia, Dasyuridae.